GCCCGACUAGCUCAAUCGGUAGAGCACGAGACUCUUAAUCUCGGGGUUGUGGGUUCGAGCCCCACAUUGGGCG
RNAcentral lists this transfer RNA (73 nucleotides) under Parasteatoda tepidariorum (common house spider). RNAcentral's name for it is "transfer RNA lysine (anticodon CUU)". It matches the Rfam family "tRNA". Rfam says of the family: Transfer RNA (tRNA) molecules are approximately 80 nucleotides in length. Their secondary structure includes four short double-helical elements and three loops (D, anti-codon, and T loops). Further hydrogen bonds mediate the characteristic L-shaped molecular structure. tRNAs have two regions of fundamental functional importance: the anti-codon, which is responsible for specific mRNA codon recognition, and the 3' end, to which the tRNAs corresponding amino acid is attached (by aminoacyl-tRNA synthetases). tRNAs cope with the degeneracy of the genetic code in two manners: having more than one tRNA (with a specific anti-codon) for a particular amino acid; and 'wobble' base-pairing, i.e. permitting non-standard base-pairing at the 3rd anti-codon position. The record is from RNAcentral. Lineage: Eukaryota; Metazoa; Arthropoda; Arachnida; Araneae; Theridiidae.